CGGGUACGGAGGUAAGUAGCGUGUACCAACCUGCCCCAUGCUCCAGAAUAGCUCUUGGAAACGGGUGGUAAUGCUGGAUGCUCCAACUUGACGCAUGUCUUGUUGGGAAAGUGUUUAGUGGCAUGGGAUGGGGUCGCGUCCUAUCAGCUUGUAGGCGGGGUAAUGGCCCACCUAGGCUUCGACGGGUAGCCGGCCUGAGAGGGCGGACGGCCACAUUGGGACUGAGAUACGGCCCAGACUCCUACGGGAGGCAGCAGUU
This 259-nucleotide ribosomal RNA is filed under the name uncultured Gardnerella sp. RNAcentral's name for it is "partial 16S ribosomal RNA". It matches the Rfam family "Bacterial small subunit ribosomal RNA", at positions 95 to 355 of the family's 1533-position model. Lineage: Bacteria; Bacillati; Actinomycetota; Actinomycetes; Bifidobacteriales; Bifidobacteriaceae. The record is from RNAcentral.